CUAACCUACCUCCCCCCUCCCUAAAAAAAGAGACCAUAAUUUCACCUCUCUCUCUCUCUCUAAAAUGGACAGAUGGAUCCCUCCCCAAAAACCCUAGCAGCUCUUUCCCCUCUCAAAAAUAGACUCCGUUUCUACACAACAGACGCUAGCCUCAAGUCCUUGCCUCCCUCUCUAAUGGUUGUCACAACCAACAUAGGAAAUUUAGAAUUCAAAAAGAAGUCUGAAGAGAGAUGAUUUCAAAGCUCAACUUUUUCUCUUCAUGGGUUUUAUAAGUUGUAGAAGCUCGAUCUUGUGGUUGCUGUUGCUUGCUCUUGUUGAAUAUAUUCUGCUGAGUUUCAUCUUUAAAGAUUUCAUCUUUCAUCUGGUUUUUUAAAAUUUGUUCUCCAUUUUUGCUGCUAGGUACGUCAAGACUUCUCUGUAAUUCCUUUUAAUUAGGCAAAUGAGACUUGAUUCAAUAUUAUUGUCCAUGUUUAGUUUCAUGUGUUCAUUGUUUGACUUGCUAUAUCUGUUCAUUUGUCUUUUAAUGAUCGAAUGGAAUUGUCUGCAUUUGAUAAAAAUUGCAAUUGGAAUUAUUCAUUGUAACUAAUUUUAAUGAGGCAUAUUGAGGGUUGUAGGCAAAAUUUGUUCAUUGGAUUCUAAAUGAUCUGUUCUGUUUUUUGGUCAAUUAAGGUUGAGUAUACACAUUAGAUUUGUUGAAGUGAGCUAAGUGAUACUCAUGCAUUUAUGCUAGUAGUAAUGGACGAAUCUGGAAAUUGAAUACGCAAGGACUUUCAAAAUUACUAGUAUUUGUGAUUGCAAUUAUUGAGGAUAGUUAUUUUGAUGUACUAAUUCCAAAUUGAAAAUAAGGUUUAAACUUCCUAUAUGUUAGAAUAAUCAAAUUCUUCAUGUCAUGAAUAAUCAUCUGUUUCAUUAUGAGAUUAUAGCUGUAUAUGUUUACUUGUACAGUCCAAGUCUUACAUAGGUGGGCCUGGUGUUAUAAUUUGCCGAUUAAGUGCCCCAAAUUUAAGAAAUAAUCUCACCUAGUGAUAGUAGGGAAAAUUUUGGCCUUUUGCGGCUAAGCUUCAAACUAAUACGACCUUCUUCUUUAAACAUACUUGAGUUUAAACGAAGGUUUCUACUUUAAGUUAGCACUAAUGUAAUUAACACCUGAAUCUGUAGAAGCGGUCCAACUUUUGUCCAGUUCUGUAAUUAAUCUUAACAAUUCAAAAUAUAAAUUCAUGGCUGCCACAUUUAUCCAUAAUCCAUGAUUUUCACAAAUAACCCUAAAGUUAGGAAAAUGAAGUAACUCUUUGAAUAUCGUAGAAAUGCUUUUAGGCGCGCACCUAAUUUAUUAUCCUAAUUGUGUAUAGGUUCGCAUAACAUAAAUCAAAGUACGCGUUCGCUCGACUUUGUUCGAACAAUCUUAUAAUAAUUAAGUGUUAUUAAUUAUGUACACGUACGCGUGAUAUGAUUUUAGCACACCGAAUAAAUGGAUUUACGCACAUGUUAUCCGUUUCCAAUAUAAAUCCAUAAAUGCCAUUAUUAAAAGUGGCAAAAAGUAAACGUACAUAGGUUCUAAAAAUGAGUAAUUAAACAAUUUAAUCAAUCCAGGUAUGAUUAAAAGUGACCGUGCUAAAAUCACAGAAUUCGGAAAUAUCUAACACUUUCUCCCUGGUUAACAAAAUUCCUUACCGCGUCUUUUAGUUUCGCAGACAUUAAAACAGAGUCAAUUUCCUCAAUUUGAGAUUUAAAAUAAACCGGUGACUUGGGAUACCAAAAUAAAUAUUCUAAGUGGUGACUCUGAAUCAAAUAAAUAAUUUUAUUUCGAAUAAUGUCACUUUAAUUGAAAAAACUCCCUAUUCCUUCGGAAAACGGAGGUGUGACAGUUCUAGCCACUCCGCUGGAGAUCCAACCCAGAAUCUAUGGUUCAGGGUUUAGAAUUUGAGCUUGUAAUGUAAUCUGUACUUGAAUUUAUUGCUUGUUGAUAUUACUGUAUUUGUGGGCCUAAUGUGCUAAUUGCCACUCAUUUACCGCUUUGAUAUUUUUAACUGUAUUAAACUGUUUUCUUACGCCUCCUUUCUGAGUCUUCUAAAAAUAAGGUGCACAUGUAUGCGUGACCCACUUUUCUGUUAGAGGUCAUAUCAAAUAGAAAUGAGGUUGGAUCAACAACUAGGUCGGGUAGACUUUCGUUCUUCCGGUACAUUGCCCCCACCUCAGCUCGAGUUGUCCGCUUGGGUAAGCCAUUUUAGAAUGCACCCUUAGGUUUUUAAACCUAGAAUAAUAUAGCCUCAUGCCGGAUCUCUAAUAGGAACGUUUGUUUGCAUCACGUGCAUUUGACUUUGGGGACUCAACACAGAGGUUAGGUCCGUCUAGGAUAGGUGUACCCGAAAUAAAAGACUAUUCUGAUGCAUCCUACGUGCUAUUUGUGCAUUUAUUUUUUCUGGCUUUCAUGUUGAUCGGCUAGGAAAAUAAAAUCAAGAGAAAAAUGAAGAGCGAGGUAGGAGAGAAAUUUGUCCCUUCUGAAAAAUCCCGGUAUUUUGAAAAAGAUUCAAAAAUCUACCGAAAUUUAAAAAAAUGGAAAAAGAAUGUCAUUUCAAAAGGAGUCGAUAUCUUCAAGAAAAAAAGAACAUGCUUUCUUGCUGUGUCAAAAAUGACCAAACUAGGCGUGUCUGAUUCUCACCGGAUGUGAGAUACCCAGGCAAACCUCUUCGGUUCCGACACCAAUUGUUAAAAAUCCAAAAAUAUUUUUCUUUAGUUCCUUCUUUAGGAGUCCUUUCUUAGAAAAUGCCAAACAAAUAAUUUUUUUACACACAAAAAUAUUUUCUCUGUAGAAGUCAUUCUACCCUUUUUAGAAGUCUUUUUCCCAAAUAUUCAAAAUAAAAAAUUAAUUAGAAAUCCAUUUUUUUCUUUCUUCUUUAGAAGUCUUUCUUUCGAAAAUUUCAAAAAAAUAAAUAAAUAUCAAAACCAAAUAUCGAAAUAAAAGACUUUCUUUUGAGAAUUCCAAAUGAAAAAAAAUUAUAUUCCUUUCUAAACGCUUUCAUGGUCUGAGUGUUAUAAAAAAAGUAAAAAAAAAAGAGUUAGUUUAUUUACUCCACUCCUGAUUUUCCUGAACUGCGUAAUGAUCUGAUUCAUGCGGUGUCAUGAUACGUAGAUAAUUCCUAUCAGAUUCGAUCAUAGCCAUAAACAAAUUGAGGGAAUAAUAAAUAGAAAAAAAAGAGUGGAAAUGAAAGAAAAGAGGUACAAAGUGAAAAAGGGACAUUUAAAGGCCGGGAUGACACAUGCAUUCGUUAAAACACAUGGUAGAAACAUUUAACUGUUUAGGUACAUUGCAUCCCAACAUGCGAUCUCCUAUCUGUUAAAUGUCUCAAAACUAACAAGGUUGUUAACUGUGCAAAUUAGCCAGGUUCUGUUUAGGUGGUUGGUUUGUUAGUAUUUUGACUUCCCAUCCUUACGUCACAAGAUCUAAAUGAAAUGUUCCUAUGGCCUCCGAAAGUCAUCUACUAAUUAUCAAUCUUGAGGAUAGCCCAACACCGGUUGUUCCACAACCAUAAUCAGCAGCUACUAAAGAGAAUAGGAUAUUGCGUCUCCGCAUGUUGGAAAUGUGGGACGCUUGGUCUAAUGGUAGGGAACCACCAAGUGUAAUUCCUGGGUUCCCUGAGUUGAUCCCUAGGUCAAGUGAAGCUACCAACGUCCCUAUACCCAACCUAUUCAUCUCGUACAUAUACCCUCCCAUACCAUCUAAUGGUCUUGGCAUGCCUUCUAUGGUUUGCCCCCAAGUGCCAGAUUCAAGGGCACCGCCAACAGUGUUCUCUAUAGCACCAAUCUGCACCCAUAUCACAACCAACUAUACCACAGCCAUAUGUUGAGCCUCCAUGUUCACCUUUCAGGUUCCACAGUUCCGGCCAGAAAUAACAUAUGUGAACCCAUACUCAUUUACUCAACCACCGCAAUAUGGUUUCUUAUUGGAGCAAGAAAAGGUUGUCAAGAAUCUCGAGCAAGAGGACAUGGCUCGGAGGAUAAAAAGCCUGCAACAAAGUCUGAAAAACAUACAACACCUGAAUAAGCAAAAAUGUGUCUCACACUCUGACUUGUGUAUGUUUCCCUAUGUUCAUUUUCCACCUGGCUUCAUGGUGCAAAAAUUUGAAAAGUACAACGAGCACGGAGACCCAAUCGCUCGUCUGAAAUGAUACUGUAACCCUAAGGGGCGCUGGCAGAAAAGAUGAUUUCCUAAUGGCCUAUUUUGGAGAAAGGCUCACCGGAAUUCUUCCGAGUGGUACAUCGAUCAAAAGAUUACUCAUUGGCACGUGUGGGAUGACUUGGCCCGUGAUUUUGUCCACCAAUUCUAGUAUAAUGUGGAUAUCGCUCCCGACAAAAACUCUUUGUCAAUUUAAAAUAGAAAACAGUAGAAAACUUCAAUGAAUAUAUUGUCAAAUGGUGCAAGCAAGCCGCCAGAGUAAAGCCUUCAAUGGAAGAAGUUGAAAUAGUUACGGUCUUCCUACUUGCCCAAGAGGCGGACUACUUCUAAAAUAUGAUGUCUACUAUGGGUAAACCGUUUGCCGAGGCUAUCAAAAUUGGGGAGAUGGUGGAAAAUGGUUUGAAAACGGGCCGAAUCUUGAGUCAAACUGCUUUUAAAGCUGCAUCAUAGGCCGUUCAAAAUUGUUCGGGGUGUUUGAUGAAUAGAAAUGGGAGAGAAAAGGGAGCCAUGAUGGCUUCUAGCUCAAAGGGGCUCACAGGUCAUUCAACCAAUCAUAUAUGCUUCCUAAGGUCCCACAACACUAUUUUUCCCAUCAAGAUGCUGCUUAUGCCAUGUCACCGCCUCCCUAUGCGGUGAUGAACGCGCAAUCUUAAACGCGACCACAACAUUAUACACAAAACCAAGCUCCACCUUCCAGAAAUGCCCAUCUUUACCAAGCUUCGUAUAAUCCCCAACCAAAUGUUUCCCAAUACAAUACUAGCCCAAGAGAGCCCUUCAGAAGGAAUCAGUUCACCCCUAUUAGUGAAUCAUAAUCUAGCUUGUUGCAAAAGCUAGUAAGGCUAGGGCUGCUACAACUAGUGGCCCCGAACCGGCCAAACCCUGAGUCCCUCUCGCACCAAGCUGAUGUUAGAUGUGAAUACCACUCUGGAGAAUUGGGACAUGAUACGAAAGACUGUUGGACUCUUAAAAGAGCGGUGGAAGACCUUAUCGAGAUCCAGGUAAUAGUGCUCAAGGAUGAAGAGGACCCUAAUAUGAUGAACAAUCCUCUACCUACUCACACUAUUGGGCCAGUAGUUGGAAUGAUCUGUGAAGAUGAGAAAUUUGAUCCCGUGCUGAAGGCCAUUACAGCCAUUUUCGAGACAGAAGAAAAGCCAAAAAACGGUCGCCAAACCUAAAAGUCCCCUAUCAGAAGGGAGUCAUGGUAGCCGGUCUUUCUAUCCUUCCUGCAUCCGCAUUAUCUCGGGGUGUGAUCCGGAUGUUUUACUUUAUUGUCUUACUUGUCAAUGUAAACCCUUCUAUCUUUAAAAUUCAAAAUAAAAAAUUCAAAAUAAAAAAAAUCAGUCAAAUGAAAUUAAUAUUUUAUUUUUCAUGAAUGUCUCUUUUUCUUAAUCUUGUCACUUUUUUAAUUAUAUUUUUAGUUCUUUUAAAUGCAUAUUUUAAUGACAUGACAUGCUUGGGGACUUCAUGCCUAGAUUCUAAAACGUUGUCAGACUUCGAGAUAAUGAAUCAAGAAUCAGAAUGCAAUGAAGAUAGGUUUAAGGAAAUAAAACAAAGAAUUAGAACAACUAAUGAAAAAUUGGCUCCGGAUUGGAAUGGACCAUACAUUAUAACGAGAUGUACUAACAAAAGAAAGUGUUGUACCUGGGUAACAUCGAAGAAAAUGUCCCUAAAAUGAUGAUCAAUGCAGGUGCGGUCAAAAGGUACUUUGUUUGAUCCUCCAUAUAGUAUUAAUGUUCCCUGGUUGGGAUGACGAAGGCUUUUAUUCUUGCUACCUAAACACUAUUAAACCAUUUGUAAACCCUUUGAGCUGGUUACUCUUCUUUGAUUACCCUCUUUGGAACCUGAAAGUGUUAUUGAAAAAAAAAUUAAAUGAAAAAUGAAAAAAAGGAAAAAUAAAAAGAAAAAGAAAGAUGUUAUAAUGGUUCGACGAUGCUUUUGCCUGAAAGGUUCCAAAGUUGUAAUUUAAUCCAACUUCUUUUUACCCUAAAAUCAUGUUCAAGUCCUUCCGAUCAAUCGACAAAGAGGUUCAAAAUGGAGGGUAUAGUUACUUUGAUCUGGUGCAUUCAAAUGAGAAAUAAAAUGGGAGACUGUUAUUGGUGAAAACCCUCAUGGGCACCACAAGGAAAUGGUAAGCAGAGAAAUUAAAAUGAAAUAGUCUUGUUAGUGAAAACUCGCAAAGAGCACUAUAAGGCGAUGGUGAGAAGAGAAAUGAGAGUGGUCAGUUAGUGAAAACCCGCACAAGGCGCCACUGAUAAAAAAGAAGGGUUCCCUUAGAGUAUGGCAUCGACACAAUCCUGGGCAAGGUUUCUCAGUUUCUAGGCAAAAGUUGUGAUGAAUUUCUAAGAGUCGGAUAGUUUAAACAGAUCAGACAUCCAGUCCAAAAGGCAUGUCAUGUUCAUUAAAGUUCACAUGUACUCCAGAUAAGUCCUUCUUUCCUUUCCCGAAAGAGACACCUCUUUUCUAAUUCACUAUCCAUUCCAUUGUCUAUUUUCUUUGAAUCUCAUUCAGUCUAACUCAGUUCUAAAACUGAGGCGAAGAAGGGAUGACAUGAUUGAUUUACAGGGCUUUUGUUUGAUACAAGCUAAUAUUAAAGAAGGCACCCAGCAUCGGCAGGGUCAUCGAGUCGACUCCGACUGGCCAUAAUGGCCGAUGCUUUAAAGUCAAAGAUCUUGAAAAAAGAAAAUCAAAGUCAAAUUCCCAUAAAGGAAAAGUAAAGUUGAAAAGGUUAAGUCCUAUGCGACCAACCAUCAUGGUAAAGUUUGGAAAAGGCAAAGGUUUCUCUAAGGCCAGAAAUGCAAUCGGUAUCCAGGAAACAACCAGUUGCAAGUUGAAAUUAUCGUCAAAGAAGCCGGCCAAGAUCAGAUGACUGAAACACUCAAGGCCGCAAAACUAACCACAUUUUCAAACUAACAAAUUGUUCUUUAUAUGAACUAUAAGAAACAGGUGAAAACCAAAGCAACCUUGCGAGAAGCAGGCGCAACCAAAAAGAUACCGCGUGGAGACUAAAAUAGCUCUGCAGCAACAACCCCAAAAGGGAAGUUUUCUCCAAGUUCUUUCUCACUUUUUACUUAUUCUCUUAUAUAUAUAGAAGAAGAAGAAAGAAAGAAAGAAAGAAAAGAAAGAAUGUUCAAAAUCAUAGUAGUAUAGGGUUUUCAAUCCCUAGCUGCAUUUUCAAACAUAGGGUCUCCACUCCUAGUUGAAGUUAUUUAGACAUAGAGGCUCCACUCCCAGGUCUCUUUUCCAACAUAAGGUCUUCACUCCUUUAUUUUAGACAUAGGUUCUCCACUCCUUAGUCGCUUUUCCAACAUAGGGUCUCCACUCCCUAGUUGAUGUUAUUUUAGACAUAGGGUCUCCACUCCCUAGUUACUUUUCCAACAUAGGGUCUUCACUCCCUAGUAGCUUUUCAAACAUACGGUCUCCACUCCCUAGUUGAUUUUGUUUUAGACAUAGGGUCUCCACUCCCUAGUAGCUUUUCCAACAUAGGAUAUCCACUCCCUAGUUGAUGUUUAUAUUAGACAUAGGGUCUCCACUUCUUAGUUGAUUUUAUUUUUGACAUAGGGUCUCAACUCCCUAGUCUCUUUUCCAUCAUAGGGUUUCCACUUCGUAGUUGAUUUUGUUUGAGAUAUGGGGUCUCCACUCCCUAGGCACUUUUCCAACAUAGGGGCUUCACUCCAUAUUUGAUGUUUAUUUUAGACAUAGAGUCUUCACUCCCUCGACUCUUUCCAAUAUAGGGUCUUCACUCCCUAGUUGAUGUUUAUUUUAGAAACAAGAUCUCCGCUCCCUAGUCUCUUUUCCAACAUAGGGUAUCUACUCCCUAGGUUAUUUUAUUUGAGACAUAGGGUCUCCACUCCCUAGUCUCUUUUCCAAUAUAGGAUUUUAACUCCCUAGGUGAAGUCAUUUUAGACAUAGGGUUUUCACUCCCUAGUUGACUUUUUUUAGAUAUAGGGUCUCCGCUUCCUAGUCGCUUUUCCAACAUAGGGUCUCCACUCCCUAGAUGAGUUUAUUUUAGACAUAGGGUCUCCACUCCUUAGUCGCUUUUAAAAAAUAGGGUCUCCACUCCCUAGUUGAAGUUAUUUUAGACAAAGGGUCUCCACUCACUAGUCGCUUUUCCGACAUAGGGUCUCCACUCCCUAGUUAAUUUUAUUUUAGACAUAGGGUCUCCACUCCCUAGUCGCUUUUCGAACAUACGGUCUGCACUCUCUAGUUGAUUUCGUUUUAGACAUAGGGUCUCCACUCCGUAGUAGCUUUUCCAACAUAGGAUCUCUACUCCCUAGUUGAUGUUUAUUUUAGACAUAGGGUCUCGACUCCUUAGUUGAUUUUAUUUUCGACAUAGGGUCUCAACUCCCUAGUCUCUUUUCCAUCAUAGAGUCUCCACUCCGUAGUUGAUUUUGUUUUAGAUAUGAGGUCUCCACUCCAUAGGUACUUUUCCAACAUAGGGUCUUCACUCCCUAGACUCUUUUUCCAACAUAGCGUUUCUACUCCCUAGUUGAUGUUUAUUUUAGAAACAGGGUCUCCACUCCCUAGUCUCUUUUCCAACAUAGGGUAUCCACUCCCUAUGUUAUUUUAUUUGAGACAUAGGGUAUCCACUCCCUAGUCUCUUUGCCAACAUAUGGUUUUAACUUCCUAGAUGACGUCAUUUUAGACAUAGGGUCUCCACUCCCUAGUUUUUUUUCAGCAUACGGUCUCCACUACCUAGUUGAUUUUGUUUUAGACAUAGGGUCUCCACUCCCUAGUCGCUUUUCCAGCAUAGGGUCUCCACUCACAAGUUGAUUUUUUUUUUACACAUAGGGUCUCCCCGGUCUUCGUUUCCAACAUAGGGUCUCCACUCCCUAGUUGAUUUUAUCUUAAGACCUAGGGUCUCCAUUCCCUAGUCGAUUUAUUUUUGGACAUAGGGUUUCCACUCCUUAGUCACUUUUUUCUAGGGUACACCAAUCCCGACUUUUAUUGCUUUUAAUAAUGAAGUAUAUAGAGUUUUGUUACAAAUAACUCACAAAAUUUUCCUAGUGAAAACUGGGAAGAAAAAAAUUUCGUUCGUUCGUUCGUUCGUUUUGGUGUCACGACCAAAAAUCCGUUAACGGUCAUGAUGGUGCCGGACACCAAUAUCUGGCAAGCCAACACUAAAUAGUUAAUUAAAUUCUUGUUUUAAUAUUUUUGAAAUCAUAUGUUUUCAUCAAUUUAACUAAUAAAAAGAUGAACUUUAUAAAAUAUUUAAUAACAUUUUCAAUCUUAAUACAGAAUAUCCAAUCAUCCCAAAACCCGCUGUUACUAGUGCAUGAGCAUUUAGAAGGAAUUAAAAUACAAUACAAUAACUGUUCGGAAUACAAAUUUGGACAGAAAAGAAAAUACAAAUACUAUGAAGGAGACUCUGUUGGUUGUGGAUCGAUACAACUCACCUAAGUCCCCGUGUCAACCACGCUGCUGCACCCACAAGGCCACUAGGCAUACAUGUGCAUGUACAACAAAAUGUAUAGCAAGUGUAGUAUGAGUACGAAAAUAACACGUACCCAGUAAGUAUCUUGUCUAAUCUCGAAGAAGUAGUGAUGAAAGGUCGACUCCGACACUUACUAUGGCCAACAAUAAUAUACUGAUAAUAAGAUAAAUUAUGAAUUUUAUAGAACGACUUUAAACUCGAUAGCAUGAAAUAAGUAAACAAUUCUUUUGUUAAUAGGAGAAAUCCAACUUUACGGUCAUCAUUUAUAAACUUAUCACAAGCCAAUGAGGCAAUAUCAUUUAUUAACAAGGUCCAAGCAAUCAAUUCAAUCAUGCGUAAAUCAUGCCAAGGUCGUAUGGCCCGAUCCAUUAUAAUAUUAAACUGUGCAUUGCCGGAGAGUCAAACGGCGCGACCCAUAGAUGCAUCUAUUUAUUCUAUCGAGGCGUGUGGCCCGUUCCACAAAAGGAAAACACAAUCAAACAUUCAAUCAAGUAUUUAUUCAAGGAGCAUUUAUCCAAGAGAAUGUCCAUCCUUUUUUAACUAUCAAGAAAAUGAAGUUUAACCCUUUAGAAGUUCAUUUACCAAUUCAAUAUGAUUUAAGCAUUUUAAAUUGACAAUAAGUUACAAAUAUUGCAAGUAUAGCAUGCUUUUAGGUCCUAGACUACCCGGACUGAAGCAUAAUAGUAGCUACGCAUGGGCUCUCGUUACCUCAUGCGUAUGUAGCCCCCACAAAUAGAAGCACAUAUUUAAUUAUUUCACCUAUGGAGUUAAUUCCAUCUUACAAGGUUAGAAAGGAGACUUACCUCGUCUCAAAGCCUACGUUGCGGUUCAAGAAUGAACUCAAACCCACAAAUCAGUGCCAAAAAAUCCAAAACUAUUCAAAUGGUGUAUAAACACAUCAAUAUACACUCAAAAAUUCGGAUUCCGGAAAUAUUCGAAGAAAGUAGUUACCCAUAACCUUAUGAAGUCAAAUAUAUAAUUUUUACCAAAUUCCACAACCAUUUUCGUGGUCAAAUCUCAUUUUUAUCCAAAACAUAGGUUUUCAUCUAAACCUUUGAUUUCAUCAAUUUUUANNNNNNNNNNNNNNNNNNNNNNNNNNNNNNNNNNNNNNNNNNNNNNNNNNNNNNNNNNNNNNNNNNNNNNNNNNNNNNNNNNNNNNNNNNNNNNNNNNNNNNNNNNNNNNNNNNNNNNNNNNNNNNNNNNNNNNNNNNNNNNNNNNNNNNNNNNNNNNNNNNNNNNNNNNNNNNNNNNNNNNNNNNNNNNNNNNNNNNNNNNNNNNNNNNNNNNNNNNNNNNNNNNNNNNNNNNNNNNNNNNNNNNNNNNNNNNNNNNNNNNNNNNNNNNNNNNNNNNNNNNNNNNNNNNNNNNNNNNNNNNNNNNNNNNNNNNNNNNNNNNNNNNNNNNNNNNNNNNNNNNNNNNNNNNNNNNNNNNNNNNNNNNNNNNNNNNNNNNNNNNNNNNNNNNNNNNNCCUCAAAGUGCUAGGUGAAAACCCUAUUCCAAAAGCUUCCAAAAUCGCCGAAGAGGUGAAAGGAAAUGAGCUAAAUGGUCUAAGUAUCGGAAUUAAUAUUUGUGCACAGGCCUUAGAUGAUGUAUUUUUGACACCUGGCUCGUAAAUGCGAACCCUGGGUUUCUACUGCCUAGGUCGCGAAUGCGACCCAGAACUCGCAAAUGCACGCCCUGUCAGGCUCGCAAAUGCGACUACCUUUCUCGCAAAUGCGAUCCAAGCCCAUGCUAGGCUUCUUCACAAUUAUGACGUUUUCUCACAAAUGCAAACCAAUACUCGCAAAUGCGAUACCUGCAAUACCAACAAAAGAACACCAGAAAACUGAAAAUUCCAAACACCCAAACUCGGUCCGAAGCCAUCUCGAAACACACCCUUGGCACUCGGGACCUCAAUCAAUUAUUCCAAUGUGUCCCAAAACAUAUUACGAACUUAGUUGAUCCUUCAAAUCACCUCAAGCAAUGCCAAAAUCAUGAAUCAUUCCCCAAUUCGCAGUUUAUGAACUCUAAAACUUCAAACUUUUCAUUCAAUGUCGAAGCCUAUCAAAUCACGUCCAAUUGACCUCAAAUUUGCACACAAGUCACAUGUGACAUUACGGACCUACUCUAACUUCCGGAAUUGGAAUCCAACCCCGAUAUCAAAAGUCCACAUUCGGUCAAACUCCUCAAAAACCUUCAAAUUUCGAACUUUCGCCAAACGACUCCAAAAUGACCUACGGACCUCCGAAUCCACUUCCGGAUGCGCUCCCAAUAUCAAAAUCAUCAUACUGAGCUAUUCCCAGACUCAGAAUCCCAAACGGACAUCAACCCAAAUUUAUGAAAUUCUUCCACAAUACUAAUUUCCACAAUAGGUGUGAAAUACUCCCGAGUCAUGCAAACCCCGAUCCGGGCAUAUGCCCAAGUCCGAAAUCAUACGAAUCUAUUGGAACCUUCAAAUCCCGAUUCCGAGAUCGUCUACUAAAAAUGCAAUCUUAGUCAAUUCUUCCAACGUAAAGCUUCCGAAAUGAGAAUUUCCUUUUCAAAUUAACUCCGAACUUCUCGAAAUUCAAUUCCGACCAUGCACACAAGUCAUAAUACCUAAAGUGAAGCUACUCAUGGCCUCAAACCAUUGUAUGACGUGCUAGAGCACAAAACGACUUGUCAGAUCAUUAUAUUUGGUGUUUGAGCAGGUUUUUACCUCGAGACACAGGGUUUAAGAUGACCAAAAUAAGAAGUAUCAAUGCAAGAUAAAGAAAAUAAAAUAAAAAGUGUGAAUCCAAAUGCAAAAGCAGAUGAACGGAUAUGGAAUGCUCCAGACAUAACUGAAGUCACAAGAAUUGCAUUUCCCGUUUUGAUUAGAAGAAGCUUUAGAAGAAUGAACUAGCACCUGCAGUUAGCAAAUAUCAAGGUUUAGAUCAGAGUCUGCAUGAAGAACAAACCAAGAUUCAAGAUCAAGUUUCAAAAAACUUAGAGAUAGGAACCUUUUAACUUAGAGUGGAUAGGCUUGUUUAGUUUCUUUUCAUUUUGAUUUUGGUGUAAUAAGGAGCUCAGCAAAUAGUAACAGCAGCAACAACAGUGAAAUCACAGCUAUUCGGUCGUCCCACCUACAAAAACCUCCAGAACUACACUGACUUGAUUCCUUUAGAGCCGAGGAUAUAUAGUGCUACGACCCAAAAUUUACUAUUCGUGAUGGCACCUAACCCAACCCGCUAGGUAAGCCAGUUUAAAAACUAUGCAUUUCCAAUUAAAUUAAUAAAACAAUUAAACAGAGGAAUUAUCUAAAAUCUUAUACAUUUCCCAAGGACUGGUAGUACAAAUCAUGAACUUUUAAGAGUAGAAAUUUAAAAAGUGAUAGGAAAUAAAUACAUCUUCUAUUUGAAAAGUACAUAAAUAGAGUUAUAUAAUCUAAGACUACCAUGAACAAGAGGCAGCUACAACGGGGAUGCAGGUACAUCUUCCAAUCCAGCUUCCAUCGAACACAACAACAUCGACAUUCGAUAUUUUCACGCAAUGUGCAUGAAGUGUAGUAUGAGUACAACCGACCACAUGCACUCAAUAAGUAACAAACCUAAACUUAAGUUGAAAGUAGUGACGAGCUGGUACAUAGGUCGGGUCCAAGACCAAUAACAGUUCAUAAUAGUGUAAAGCAAAUAAAUAAAGAAAUAGCUUAGAGAUAAAGUGCUCAGCCUUUUCAUAGUUUUCCGAAAAUAGUUCCACUUUUCAAGUAUACCAAUGAAAGCCCAUAUCCUUUACCGAAAUCGUCAAAAAUAUGAGUAAGUUGGAAAACUGUAACUUUUUUCCAAAAAAUCCUUUAAAUAGUAAAUAUGAUGUUUCAUUUUCUUUCCAGAUAGCAUGUUUGAAAUACCUCUUUAUAACAACAUAUCAAUAUGUGUAAAAAGUCAUGAAUGACGUGAUACCGUACAACAUGAGGAAAAUGCAUCUCUAGGCCUGUAUGUUAUGUGCAAGUCAACUGCGAUGCGACUCAGCAAUAAAACAAUAUGCAUACUCUCAGAGUAUCAAUUCACUCAGUCCUCCUAGUCACUCAAUCCUCCCAAUUACUCGACACUCGCACUCAGUAGGUACCCGCACUCACUAGUGGUGUGCAGACUCCGAAGGGGCUACUUUAGCCCAAGCGUUAUCAUCUGCACAGACAACUCAGGUGUUGCACAUACAACUCACGUGCUAUAAUAUCAAAUUAGAAUCCACACAGAUAACUCACGUGACAUAGUAUCAAUAUCAGAAUCCGCACGAACAACUCACGUGCUAUGUAUCAAUAUCCUACACAAUCAGGCCCCUCGGCCUCACUCAGUCAUCAACCUCUACCAGUCUNNNNNNNNNNNNNNCAUGAAUAUGGCUGCGUAUGAAAUAUAAAUGAAAUAAGUGAGAUGACAGCAGAAACGACCACUAUGGGUGCUAAAAAUAUCAGCAUAAAGCCUAUGCACGAUAUCUAGCAUGACGUACAACUCAAUUACUUUAUAACUUGGUGUAAACAUAGAUAUCAAUAAAGUAGGGCCACUAUAUAGUACCAUCAAGGAAACAAAGUCACCAUUCACAGGGUGCACGCCCGCAUGCCCAUCACCUAGCAUGUGCGUCACCUAAACAAUAAUCACAUAACACAUAAUUCAGGGUUUCAUACCCUCAACAGUAAUUUUAGAAGAGUUACUUAUCUUAAACAAGGCAAUUCCAAUGCAGGGCAAGCCAAACGAUGCUCCAAGGUUGCCAUCACGCGCGUAGCGACCUUUGAACGGCUCAAAACUAGCCAAAAGCAACUCAAAUACAUAUGAUAAAGCCCAAGGAAGAAAUUACAAAUGAUAAAGAUCGAAUUCUACAUCAAAUCCCAAAUCCAGCCAAAAAUCACACCCGGGCCCACGCCUCGAAACUCGACAAAACUCACAAAAUCUAACAAUCCAUUCAAUUACGAGUCCAACCAUACUAGUUUCACUCAAAUCCGACUCCAAAUCGGCGUUCAAAACUCAAAAAUUCAUAUUAUGAAACUUUAGGCUAAAAACCCCAAUUUUCUCUUUCAAUUCAUCAACUAAUUGCUAAAAAUGAAGAUGGAUUCAUGAACUAUAUUCAAAACUGAGUAGAGAACACAUACCCCAAUCCUUGUGAUGAAUUUGCUCCAAGAAUCACCUCAAUCCGAGUCCUACAUUUCAAAAUAUGAAGAAAAAACAAAACCCUUGAUUUUUAUAACUCUGCCCAGCACUUUUGCAUCUGCGGACAAGGGGCCGCAUUUGCGACCUUCGUUUUUGCGGAAAAAGGGAUAGCAUUUGCGAGACAGGCCACUUCUGCGAUGGCAAUGACCGCAUAUGCGACCGCACUUCUGCGCAAAUACCUCCGCACCUGCGGACCUUCACUUCUCGAUGAAAACUCGCAUCUACAACGCUUGGCUCGCAUCUGCGGCUAUCGCACCUGUGCAAACCAGGCAUAAGUGCGGUCAUACCAGAACCAGAAAUCUUCAGCAAUGCAACAUGAAAUGAAAAUGAUCUGAACCUUGUCGGAAACUCACCCGAGCCACUCGGGACCUCGACCAAAUAUACCAACAAGUCCCAUAACAUAACACAGACCUACUCGAGGCCUCAAAACACACAUAACAACAUCGAAACGAUUAAUCACACCUCAAAUAAAAAUCAUUGAGCUUUUAAUCUUCAACUUCCACAACCGAUGCCGAAACCUAUCAAAUCACGUCCAAUUGACCUCAAAUGUUGCACACGAGUCACAUUUAACAUUACAAACCUGCUCCAACUUCCGGAAUCAAAAUCCGACCAUAAUAUCAAAAAAUCCACUCCUGGUCAAACUUUCCAAAAUUUCAACUUUCGCCAUUUCAAUCCAAAUUCCACUACGGACCUCCAAAUCACAAUCCUAAUAUGCUCCUAAGUCCAAAAUCACCCAAUGGACCUAACGGAGCCAUCAUAAAUCCAAUCCAUGGUCAAAUACUAAAAAGUCAAACUUUGUCAAACCUUUCCAAUUUGAAACUUCUAACCGAGAAUCAUUCUUCUAAAUUAAUUACGAAUAACCUGAAAACCAAAACCAACGAUUCACACAAGUCAUAAUACAUCAUACGGAGCUACUCAUGGACUCAAACAACCGAGCAAAGUGCAAAUGCUCAAAAUGACCGGUCGGGUCGUUACAUCCUCCCCCACUUAAAUAUACAUUUGUCCUCGAAUGUGCCCGGAGUUGUUCCAAAAGCCAACAAAUCGUCGGGUAACCUUACCAUGCACAUACUCAGGGUUGAUCUCACGUCACCCUAUCCCAUAUAGGUCUGAUAACACAACAUGACUGAAAUUUCUUAAUCCAACUUAGCCCAUAAGCCUUAGAACCCAAUUUCCACAUCCGAAAUUUUCUAUAAAAUAAGAAUCUCGCAUCUACACACCUUAUAAGUCUGAACAAGCUGUAUCAAGCCAUAACCAUAACCCAAGAUUAAAUCACAUGAUAUACCACAUAACUCAAACACUCAUAGUGAUAAUUUCUAAUCACAACAGCUGCUCAAAACAACCCAAUGCUAGUAAUAAACCUCUUAUCAAACAUAGCCUCGGUCAAACACCUUCAUAUACUGCCAGAAACUCAUAACUAUUUACUAGAUCAACAAGUUGUUGAACUCCCUCUCCUUCAAUAGGAACUAUAGUAAAUUUCUAAGCCGAUCAACAUCAAUAUCCUUCUAAAUAUACCCCAAUCAGAUCUGAUAGCACCCAUUUUAGCCCAAUGACCUCAUCUCAUCCAACACGACCACUCUAGUGACAUGACAUAUCAAUGAAAUCAAAAGCCACAACCUACACAAUUUGUGCAUUAAUAAGCAACAUUCCAAAUGUACUCAACAUGGAAAAUGACAUCAGACAAGAGAACUGUCACGCAAGCUCAACGGAUAUUACCACGACGCAAUGCUAAGAACCUAUCACACAACGCAGAUCUCAAACACACGAAUCUAACACAAAGGAUCUUAUCUCUACAUAACUCUGAUACAAUGCGUGACCCCAUCCAAAUGUUGGUUCAUAUUAUAUACUUCGAGCCACCCUGCUCAAAAUCCAUAACCACUUUAAAUUCGACAUCAAGCACCCAAAGUGCAUUAUCCUAACCAUGGAGAUCAAAUAGCAUAAUGCCACCAUCCAGAAUGAACAUAGCCAACGCACAAUACAUCAUGCAAUACCUGAAUACUCAUCUUGCUCAAAUUUCCACUAGAAGCCCAAAUAGAACCGCACCAUGUAUGCAUAUAACUAACGAUUCACAACUCCUCGUAACGUAGAAGAGUAACUUAUAUAUCAUUCAGAACACAAAUAAGCUCAACAACACCCGAAUGACACAUCCCUCAACAAUAGCAGUAUCGAGCUAACCAAUGGACCACCAAAUGAACUAUAGUCAUCCACAAAUAGAUAAAUAACCUGCCGAAAGUCCAUAAUGACUGAAUCACAAAACAUAAUAUCCUCUUCCCAACCUUGGCUACUUGUUCACAUUCCACAACCACGAAAUAAUAUACUCAUGUGAACCUAUAGUCUCCAAAUCCAUAUAACACACAAAUCUUCUAUAAUUCUUUUGAGCCACAAAGAAAAAUUAGAAAAUCAGCAGUCGAUCAACUAGGAGCGCACCCACAAUACUAAUGAAGUAUUCAUAAUUCAAAAGACAUCGCCCCUUCGGAAAUGUAUACUCUAAUCAAGCUAUACCAAAUAGUAAUGUCAUUUACCUAGUCAUCUGAAACCAUCCAUGCUGCCUAAGGACUCAUAACCUUCCCCUUCAAAACUGAACUGUGACCUUACACUUGCAAAUCUCAAUCCUACACAACACACUGCAUAUACUAUGCAAUCAUAUGAAAAAUACAAUAACUUCGCAAUCCACUCCGAGUCACAAGCAACUGCAUACUUAAUUAGCCAAGAACUUUCCACUUGAUCCCUUCUAGGAGAAAAUCACUAUACAUCACAUGAUCCCCAUGCUAGUAGGAAAUAUACAUCUCUAACUGAGGUAGAAACUUUCAAGAACUCUCUGAAUCCCAUUUGCACAAAACUAACCUGUAAGGACUGAAUCGCUCUAACUCAACCCAGCUACGCAGGUUACCAAAAACCCAAGGGAAUUGCCACAAAACACAUGUAGAAGCUCACUACCCCACAAGCACCCAAAGAACCCAUCAUAUCCAUUACCAUGACGAUCCAACAUACUACCAAGUUGUCCUAUUUCUCCUAGUUUCUUCUGAAUUGCCUUCAAAUUGAUACUUCUCCUCGCCAUAAUAUCAUAAUCCUCAACCAAUACUCAUCACCCGAGACCCUAACAUAAAACCACACCGCUUAAAACUCAUAAGCAACCAAAUUCUCUCUUAAGCACCCCAAAAUACCACAAAAAAGAUACUCACUCCGAAGUGACCUCCUACAAAUUUCAAUCUAGUCUUUCACCUUCCUGAUAUUAGAAUGUAGAAUCCAUAAAGAUAUGGAAAUACCGAGAGUCCCGACACCAUCCAAUGUAACCCUAUGACUCUAGCCAUAUACGAACCUAAACAAAUUCUCAAUUGCCACAUAUAAAUCUUGAAUUCAUUAGAACCAUUCUCGAAAGUCAUCCACUCUACUCAAAUCUCAAUAGCACCGCCCAAACGAACCGAACGACUUAUGCCCAUUUGCACACCAACACCCUAAGAUGUAAUUCACAACUCUAAUAAACCAAGUAAGUUUCUACUCCAUGAACUCUACAUCCUUCAUGAAUAACCACUCAAUCUUUCCCUGAUUUUCAUAUACCCAUAGAGUGUAAUACAAUCCAUAUAAAUUCCCUUAGUUGAGUCAGCCUCGAUCCCAACCUAUGUAAGCCAUAACUGAUUCACCAGUAUACCUCAAACUGAAGCCAAUACAACACAUAACCGUGCAAUCAACUUAUCAAUAGCAUAGUACCCCACUUGGCUCAAAGCCAUAGUGCAAAAGACACACAAUAGCUCACAAUGCCAUACUCUAUUACUACCAUAAUACCAUAGUAAGAUUCAACUAAAUCCUUCAUAAGCUCAUGCAUCACAAACCAUCUAAUAUCUCAAAUCAUCUACAAAUCUCGCAUUGACCCUUGUAACAGUCAAGCCAACUCUCAUAAGCGAUCCGAACUCAAAUUGAAACACAUAUAAUUUAUUGGUAAAAGAGGACUCGCUACACAACAACAUAGGGAUCACACAACCCUCAUGACACCUCGCAGGAGAAAACCCACCUGCUUCGCCUCAAACCAAUAUCUCUUAUACCCUUCCACAGUCAUAACCAUUACACAAUCACUUAAGCUUCCUGAGUCUGAACUCAUAUCACGACAUUAAAAUCUCCUUUACUCCUCAACUAAACAACAUGUAAAGAUCCUUCAACACCCCCAUAACUCGAGACUAUAUGUCAAAUCAAGAUGGAAAACAAGCACACAAUUGUUCUUUCUACACCUCAAGCAAACCCUUCCCAUCACAUUAAACCAUAUCAACACAUUUCGCAGUAAUUGUUUACCGUGAAAAUAGUAAUGACAAUUAAAUUUGUAAAAUGAGAUUUUAAAAAUACGUAAUCUAUUUUUAUGCUAGUUGUUAGAGCAGUCGAUGAUAAGAAUAUGAGGUUUAACGGUAUAACACAAGCUAAAGUGGGGCAGAGAUCAAACCCAAGGGAUUGCUGCCCGAUCCUCGGGUUGGUCAAUGAAGAAGCCUCUGGGCCGGUAUCUAGCUCGAUCUUGGGCUAUCGGGGGUAGUCAGGAAUGGGAUAACACUUAAGAUAUGUUUAAACAAGGCUCUUUAUGGCCGAUACUAAGCAAUAAAUGAAGAAUAAGUAUGGAACUAAUAAAUACUAAGAACGGCCUCGAGCUAGUAAGAAAGAGUAAGUUAGAGAGAAGAAAGAGAGAGAUAUUAUUGAUCUUGUAGAGAAGAAUGGAUGGAGCAACCUUAUCCCUUUACAAAGUAGUGUAAGUUCCCUUUAUAUAGGAGGGGAACCCAGAUAUAGUACAACAUGCGUUAGUUAUAAAGUAUGGAGAUGGGACAGCUAGACGUGACGCUUCGGCAUAGGCCCUAGAUAGGCCGACCUUAUCAGACUUAGCCGUGUUCCUUGGGAACUUCCCUUCUACUCGACCUUCGUCUUCUUUGAGCCGGGCCUCGAUGAGUCCCGAGGGAGGAGACUCAGUCGCGGCUCCACGUCCUCGAGGCCUCGAGGUAUUCUACCGAAAUGGCUUGAUAGCGAGAAAUUAAGUCCUCUAAUUUUGCCGAAUACAGAUAGUCUCCGUGUUUCCCAAAACGAAGCGAUAGGAAAUGAUUCUAACACCUGACUCCACGAGCUUCUUAUGGUGACGUCAUACCAAUGAUGCAACUUGUGGUGCGAGUUUUUGCGGCAAUUGCAUCCGCCGGUUAAUUGCAUCUGUCGGUCAAUCUUCCAAAGCCUCGAUGACUGUGUCGUUACCCCCAUAAAUGGGGGUGUUUUGGCUUUGUUUUUUCUAUCCAAAUACAUUCGUUGGCUCAUUUUUCCAUUUCUUCUUAUCAUCUUAUUCCAUCCUUGAUCGCUAAGUUUGAGGCUCAUGGCCUCGAGGCCAUUCGAUAGAGCUCUUGUAGGCUGUGUUGUGGCCUCUUGCCGGAGCUCCCCUUUUUCUAGCAUAACCAUGUCGUCCUGCUGUUGCUGUGGUUGAUGUUACGUCUACUGUUGCUGCCUUUGUUUGCUCGAGAUGAUGACACACGGGGUCAACUUUCCUUGCUCGUAAAAAGCUCUUCGGAUUAUAUACUGCUACUCAACUUCAUACCCCGGCUCGACGUGGUGCUCUGCCCUGAACUGGUAGCUUGCACGACUAGAUGUCCCAAGAAGUGGACUCUAAGUAGCCGUGCAAGCGGGACCGAGGCUCGCCCGGUCCAUUGUCUCUUCGAGGUUCUCUUGGCCAGCGAGGGUCCUCGACCUUCGGAGAGCUACAUCAUUUUUUCAUUCCUCCCUGCCGCUCACCCUAUCCUUUAGGGAUAUCAGUAUGAAAGGGCGGGAUGAGGCUUAUGAGGAUGUAUGCCCGCAGGCACCUAUUGUAGGAGGUGGACCUUCGGAGGUAGACCAGUCUCUAGGCUUUUAUCUCGCAUGUGCACCCUUUUAUUUCUUCCUUUAUGCGUAAGAACCCCUUGCGGGCUUUUAUAAUUGUAUGUAAGGACCCCUUGAGGGCUGUUCUACAUGGAUAUUUAUGAAUAUGAAGAUACUUCCUUGAUUUUUGUUUUCGAUUCUUGCCCUAUUAUUGUAUGCUCCUGUGCCCUUCGAGGCCUUUCAAUAUUUUCCUUUGUUGUUGACCGCUGAUAUCUAACUCGGAUGCAAGCAUUCUGUCCGAUCCUCUACCGAUUGACAUGGCUCUCUUUUCCGAGCCCAUCGUCAUUCCUUGUACCAAGCUUGAAUUGAUCUGAUAGGCUCGGCCCGUCAGGCCCUCCAAGUUGCAUGGAGAUAGUAUGCUGAGUUUUGGAACUUUCGAGAGUGGUAUCCUGAGUGAAGGUCAGCUUUGGGUGCCUGGGGGUCUGCUUUGAACUUGAUGCAGAUAGCCUUUUAAAGCGUAGUGGAUAGACUUCCGUUGAGGAGUUGCCUAUGCUUAGGAGAUGCCUCGAGCCUUCCUAGAACCUUCAUGAUCAGAGCUUUUUGCGUGCUUAGUUUUCUUUUUAGAAAGAAAAACAAUGAGAUCGGGUACCGCCUCCACUUCUAUGAUGGCGUUGAAGGCUUCCUGAAGCCUGACUUUUUUUUGGCGGAGAUCCUCGAGGACAGGCACUACCUCUAGAUUGGAGACAAUACAGUUGACUCCUUGAGGCCUAACUUCUUGUCGAUGGAUGCCUCUAGGGUCGAGUACCACCCCGGGAUCUGUACCGAGGCCGUUGGACUCUCGGGGCUUACUCUAUAUAGGUGAAUCGUUGUUGUUUCCACAUAUAUGUGGGGUAGCUUUUGCUUCUUUGGGAGAUCUUAUUAUUUUGGAUAACUAUCCCUCCACCUUGGCAUCGGGUCCUUCGCUUCUUCAGGCACAAAAAGCGUUGGUGCACGUCCUUGCUUUAGUCUGUCAAUUCUACCAUAGCCAUGUUAGCUACUUCGGCGCCGGCCCGGCAGGGAGGGGAAAGUUCCACUCCCGGCAUUUAGGAUCUGCGGGAGUUUACUCUGAAGACUGCGUCUUUGAUAAGAAAGGAACAUCUAGAUAUGGUAAGGAGAUACUGCGGAUAGAGAGAGGGGAUACCGCUGCAGGUGAUUUCCCCGGAUGAGAUUAUUGCAGACUCUGCUAAUGGAUUCUUGAACGUAUACCUAUAUCCUUUCGCAUUUGGCCCCCUUGAUAGGGCCGUGCUUGAUUUUUGCUUGAAAUAUCAAGUUACUUUGGCGCAGAUACAUCCAUAUGGCGAGUGGUGUUGAUGAUGAGGUUCUUUGCGGAGAGGGCUAGGCUGGAAUUUAUGCUCAGCCACUUCGUCAGGUUGUACCGGCCCUUUCUUCAUCGAGGCCUGUUAACCUUGCGGUGCUGUUAGUCCAUGCAUUUUGUUGUCGAUGAUGAAGAAGAUGGGGAUCAAGAGUUGGUCAGUCGAUUCAUCCGGGUCCGGACGACUGACAUUAUCCCCAUGGAGCUCAUGCCCUUUCUCAAGGGAUGGAAUUACGUGCGUGAGUGGAAUGCCUUGUGCUUCCAUAAGUUUUAUUAUAGUGAAACCUAGUUGAGUAAUUGUGUCUCCUUCCUUUUUGUAACAAAUUCAUAGAUGCUGGGCGAAGUUCUCGAUAUGCCCGACUGGGUCCGGAAGUUGGCGACCCAUUCGACUUGCGAUGAGCGUAGGUGGCGAGCUGUGUCCCAUGACAGAUGGGAAGCGAAAUACUAGGGUAUGUGCAUACGCUACUCCUGCCUUCGUCUUCAUAUAUUUGAGAUGACAUUUUCCUCUUUCUUUUGUAUCGGCUUUUGCCAUUGUAGGCAUCAGACGGUUCCUUAUGGCGAGGAUGUGCUCUUUCGGAGAGGGGAAGGAGUCAUCGGCCUUCGAGCUAAGGGAUAAUGGUGAUAAACGGGAUUUUCUCCCGCAGUGUGGUGGAGCUUUUAAUGGGGCUCAACGGGCCCGUGUCUUCAAGGAGAGGAAAUCGCUCGAGCCUGCUGCUCCCUGAGUGUUUGAUAUCAGAACAGUGGUUCCUCUGAGUGAAUAUGCUGUGGUCAAGGUUGGUUCUUCUGGGGCUGAAGGGGCAGGACCAACAGGACUGUGCUCUCCCUUCGAGGAAGUCCGUCGGCUUCACUUCAUGGUGAGUUUCAGCGCAGUCCUUUUGUAUUUCAUGUCUUCCUUUCUUUAUCGAGUUUUUCUUUUGUAGGCCUAUGAUAGGCUCAGAUCUGAGUUGUUCCGUCAUUGGGCUAGGCAUCGGAAAGCUAUGGAUGAGGGUGAGUCUCUUAGGCUCCUCAGUGAGGAGAAAGAGGUUGAGUUAAUGCACUAGGAAUAUGAGGCAUAUCAGAGCUUGAAUUACGAGAGCUAUUUGACGGAGCAAGUAACCUUUCGUAGUACAUGCUUUGCUCUUUUUGACCCUUAAGGUUAAUCCUUUUGCCUAUCUUAGCUGCAAAAAAAGAUAGAGGCUUUGGAGUACCUUAAGGGAGAAGCCUACCGAAUUAGGAAUGCUUGUAGUAAACUGAGGGCUCAAGUGCAGGCUCAAUCUUUAGAGGAGAGGGGCGCCUUGGCCAGGUUCCUGCCUUCGAGGUCCAACUCCGCUUAGCUUGUGACAACACUACAGUUCGAGCAGAUAUGAUCAGGAAGCUCGAGCUCGAUCUCUCGAAGGUCGGGGCUGAUAUAAUCGAUGCCCGGGCUGAAGCAGCAUUAAGUCAAAGCAAGGGUGAUCAGGAGAUGGCGAUUCAUGUGAAUAACACUACUGAUGUCCAAGCCGAGUUGAAGCGGGCCCUCGAUCGUGAGAAGAGAAUUGUGGAAUAUGUUCACUGCAGAUCCCGAAGAGAGGUGCUCGAGGAGAUCGGUGCUAGGGGCUUCGUUCUCUCGGAGGCAUUAGUUCGAGCAAGGGCGGACGAGCGCGAUGCUCAGUCACUUCUUGCUGACACCAUGGAGAGUGAAUCUGGGGCUAACAGGCUGUAGCCUUUUCGAGAGGAGCGUAGAUUUCGCUGCUUUUCCACUUUGUAUUUGAUAUUUUCAGAGCAUGUUUGUAGAUGGAGAGCCCGCCUUUUGCGUAUGUAAAUAAGAGAAAACUUGAAGCUUUAUCUCUUUGGAUUCUCUUUCUGCAUUGCUUUCGGCCUGUCGGGCUGGUUUGGUGUUUUGUGGGAGCCCCGUGGGUCCGGAGCUAAUUAGGUAGGCCGGGAGGCUCUUAAGUGUGAUUUCUAAUAUGAGUAGGUGUUAGGGACUUUAUGCUUUGCCCAGCUAUUUGGGCCUAGUCUCCGAGUCAGGCGUUGGCUCGAGCUUACCUGACCUUCAAUCUCCUGUGCCUGCAUGGGCGGAUGAUGAUUUUUCUUGAUCCUUGCCCUUGGGCAUUUGUGUUUCAACUGUUUUAGGUCCAGUCUCCGAGUCGCAUUGCGACUAGAGCUUUAAUUGACCCUCAAGUGUUUCUGUGCCUGCAUGGGCGGAUGAAGAUGGCUCUUGCGCUUCGGGUCGAAGCAACCUUUUAAGUGGGUGGCCCGGAGGCUUGUUUGGUUGGUGACAAUGGCACUUAUGUUGUGCCCUUAAGCAUUUGUAGUUAACUAUUUUGGAUCCGAUCUCCGAGUCAGGUUAUGACUCGAGCUCAUUUUUAUCCUCAAGUUUUCAAUUUUUAAGGUGUCGACAGGCUCUUACGUUGUUUGGUCAUUGAGAUCUUUUAGUGUGCGACCCGGAGGCUCGUUUGGCUGGCGACAAUGGCUCUUACGCUUUUGCCCAUGGGCAUUUUGUAGGCUUUAUUUUCCUCUUAUUAAGGUCUUUUUGAAAUGAUUUUGCCUGACUCGUCAUCGGUUCGGGAAGAACCUCGAUUUCAAGUCAUUAGUAGUGAUUUUCGAGCACCUCGGAAGGUUCUUAGCUUGUAGGCUGAGUAGCUCGAAGCCUUGUGAUUUGGAGCUGACAUGGUCGAAACUCAUUUGCCUGUUGAGGGAAACCUGUUUUAACCAUUUCUUUUCGAAGUAUAUUCAAUGUAAUGGCCUGCACUUUUGUUACUGAUAGUCGGGCGUCCCCGAGUCGCGUUAGUUUGGCUGGAGUAGCCAUUUUGACCGUAGUCAUAUGUGUUUGUACGGAGCUUUUUUUGUUCCCAAGUAAUAGUUUAGGCAUCUACACCUAGGGUAUGACCUUUUGGGAUUCUUACAAAUGCGAUGUAUAGCCUAAACUUCGGGAUUGAUUUUUAUGCCUGUAGUAAGGUCUUACAAAAUUCUCAUGCCUGUUGAGGUCUUACAGUUUGUCAUGCCUGUUGAGGUCUUACAAUAUGUCAUGCCUGUUGAGGUCAUACAAUUUUUUGUUGUUAUGUAGAAUAAAUCUUGUUAUACCAAGUCUGCCUGCUCUAGGUCUAACGGCCUCAGGUUUUCCAGUGUACGGCGAUUGGCGAUAGUCUCUGAGUCAUGGAGUUUGCUUAGUCUCGAAGGCAGUUAUUCGUGAGCUCAAAGUUAUCUAGCUUGGGCUUCAUGAGCCCGGAGUUCCGACCCUGGUGUCGUGCAGGUGCCAAAUUGUUGACACUAUGUCUCUGAGUAUUUUGGGACGCAUUUGGUGGAGGGAUCCCUAUCGUGAACAUGCUGAAAUUUCCUUUCUAGAGUAUGAGAUGCUGAAAGAUAUUCUUUUAUUGCUUGGCGUAAAUACAUAACAUUUCGCUGUUUUAUGCUCGGCCCCUGCAGGCGCGGAUCCUUAGACUGUUUGAUCCGAUACAUGAUUCCCUAUUGAAUCUCAGUCUGCCGUUCCCCGGCCCUUCCGAGCGGAUGACACCUUUGGGGGGUGUCCUUCACUAUUUGAUUGUAGAAGAAGGCCUGUGAUCUUGUCGGAUCCUCCUUAGGGGGUACGUUGCUCUGCUAAGAACGUUGCUGGCAAGACCAACCUCGGGGCGGAAGUCCGUCCAAGGGGAAAGAGCGCAACGGGUUUGGUUAAGGCCUUGGGGUAUCCUGGUAGAGUUAAAACUUUCCGAACGCCCUAGCCGGGUGUUUGUAUACAGGUUAGUGAACAAUAACGAAGGAAGGAGGUAGUUUUUCUUUACCAUGGGAUGUGUUGGCGAUGCUCCGAGGUUUGGUAUGUUCCUGCUGUUUCGGGGUGUGGACUCUAGGACAACCCUCCGCCUGUUUACUCGGGCUUGGCCAUAGAUGUGGUUCGCUUACCCUUUGAGUAUUUCGAGAGUGGAGAUAUUGAUGUCGGUGAUGCAUUAUGUGACGCGGAAUUUCCCCUUGUCGAGUAUUGCUUCCUGUCGACGGUUUCAAUUCUGUCCCUUGCAUGGAAUUUCAUCCUUUUGACGGAGUGGGGGAGGCCCUGCCUUCGGGCGAUGCGCCCAUGGUCGUCUGAAUAAGGCGUCCGUGCCUUGCACCUCCUUUGAUGAUAUGGAACUCAGCGUUCCGGUCUGGGCCAGUCAUGCUGUACUGAGAGAAUGGUCUUUCUCCUUGUCGUAGCGAUCGCCAUUUGGAAUCUGUCAAAGAUUUGAGAGGUGGUCAUGUUUUGACCCAGUGGUCUGAGCCGUCCCAUCAUCCUCGGCCCGAUAGUGCUGAUCGAGCCACCAGCACUCAUGUGCACAUGUUUUAUUUAAAAUGGAUUGAUUGAGGAAGAAAGUUACUAGUACGUCAUUGUGAGGUCGAGACGAGGCCUCGGUACCCUCUUUGUUGAAUGUAAGAGCAUCCUUGGGGGUAUAUCCCUAGAUCUGCCUUUCUCCGGUGAUGAGAAAUUUUGCUCUCCCUUUCAAAUGUUCUUGGAAAGGGCCGUCGUUCCUCCAUUGUCGUGGCAAUAUGCUGCUGCCCGUUUUCUUUGUUUCUCCUGGCUGCCUUCCAUACUAGGGACUGAACUUGAAUUCGGUCGCUCGUCAGUUCUCGACGAUGAUUUUUGUUGAGCGGCUUGGCGUCUUUCCUUCGGAGUUGGUGGCUAUCUUCGGCCCCGCGACUGCACUUGCUAUGUAGUUCCCAUGCUAGGUUGUGAUCCCUUUGAGAGGAAUUCAGCCGAAUUGGUCUGAGCAAUUCGAGUUCCCUAGUUUCGCCUACGGCGAACACAAUGUUUGGUAUAGCAAUGUGGAAAUUGUACUCUGAUAGGUGAGGCGCCCUUGUCGGCCAUGCAUUCUGGUCGAAUCUAACUUUGUUAACAAUUCCUCAAGGAUAUUGUCCUUGGGUCAUUCUCCGAUCGUUGCGAGGUAGACUACAUCUCGGGCCGUUCCUCCUAUCUGUGGCAUAUGGGUGGUACCUCCCUCAAUUUGGCAUUGGUUUCUUUGCCAGGAGCCUGUUUGGGUAAGCUGAGCUUGAGGAGGCUCCUUGAUAGUCAUCCACGAACCUGAUUUGUGACUGAUGCCGGGAACGGGUAUCCGACCAAGUUUUGGCUGGGUACCUAAUCAAGUUUUGUUUGAACUGCCCCGAAAUCGUCGGGCUUGGUUUGUUUAGGCUUUGAGUGAAGGCCUGUAUUGCCCAGUCAACUGAGACUGGCGGUAAUAUCAUUUGUUCCAUCAGGGAAUGAGGUGCGAAUUCCCGUGGCGUUUCGUUCUCCCUUUGUUCGGCCCUAGACAUAUCGAGCUCUCCCAUCAUUGCUUCGAUGGCAUCGGCGUAUGUCUUUAUGGAGGAAUUUAUCGGUAUAGUAAGCAAGUUUAUGGGGUCGGGUGCUAGGUUAUGACGCCACAUCAUGGUUUUUAUCGAGAGUGUUUCCCCGAACCUCUUCAAUAAGACGGGCUCGAUCUCAUCAUCUUUUGGGUCGUUGCCUUUUCUUGCGCGCAUAUAGGCGGUGACGUGUUCGUUGGGAUUUACGAUCCCAUUGUACUUAGGGAGUUCUAGUGUUCUGGACUUCUUUGAAAUGGGUUUCGGGGCCACUUCCUCGGGGCACGAUCGUUGCACAAACUUUCACGAACCUGAUUCGAUCCUUUUGGAGAGAUCCCCGAGCCUCUUUACUAUGGCAGGGUCGGCUACCGAUCCGCUACUGCUUGAUCUCUUAUGUACUUGUACGGCGGGUGGAGCUGUUUCUGGUGCUCCUGUGCUGGGAGUCUUUGUAUGGCUUUGUAACCGAGCGACGGCCAACUGUUGUGCCUGAAACAUUUCAAAAAUAACAUGAAGACUAACUUACUGUUCUUCCCGGGCUGGGGUCUUUUGGGCUUUCUGUUGGUCGUCAUGUCGCAUGCUUUCGUUGAUGUGCAAGUUUUCGUCGAUCCACUGUACGUCUUGCGAAACCAUAUCCGCUGGAAUCGGUCCAGGUGUGUUAUCAGGGUUCUGCAGUGGCGCACCAACGACUGGAAUAGCCAUGCCGUUCUCUCUGUGACUUUCGAGGUAGUUGUUCUUAACCGCGUUUACCGAGCUGGACAUUUCGACCUGAAAUCAAGAGAUCUUGGACAAGAAAAAGUCUGAAAGAUAACUUGCAUUUGUAUAAUGAAACCAAUAAGAAAAUAAUCGCUAUUACUUUUAGCCCCACGGUGGGCGCCAAACUGUUUACCGUGAAAAUGGUAACGACAAUUAAAUUUGUAAAUGGGAUUCUAAAUAUACAUGAUCUAUUUUUAUGCUAGUUGUUAGAGCAGUCGAUGCUAAGAAUAUGAGGUUUAACGGUAAAACAAAAUCUGAAGCGGGGCAGAGAUCAAACCCAGGGGCUUGCUGGCCGAAUCUCGAGUUGGUCGAUGAAGAAGCCUCGAAACUGGUAUCCAGCUCGAUUUCGGGCUAUCGGGGUUAGUGAGGAAUGGGAUACCAGUUAAGAUAUGAUUAAUCAAGGCUCUUUAUGUUCGAUAUUAAGGAAUAAAUAAAGAACAGGUAUAGAACUAAUAAAUGCUAAGAACGGCCUCGAGCUAGUAAGAAAGAGUUAGUUAGAGAGAAGAAAGAGAGAGAUAUUAUUGAUCUUGUGGAGAAGAAUGGAUGGAGCAACCUCAACCCUUUACAAAGUAGUGUGGGUUCCCUUUAUAUACGAGGGGAACCCGGAUAUAGUACAACAUGCGUUAGUUAUAAAGUAUGGAGAUGGGAUGGCUGGAUGUGACGCUUCACCAUAGGCCCUGGAUAGGUCGGCUCUGUCAGACUUAGUUGUGUGCCUUGGGAACUUCCCCUUCUGCUCGACCUUCGUCUUCUUUGAACCGGGCCUUGAUGAGCCCUGAGCGAGGGGACUCGGUCGAGUUUCAACGUCCUUGGAGCCUCGAGGUAUUCUUCCGAAAGGGCUUGAUAGAGAGAAAUUAAGUCCUCUGAUUUCGCCGCAUACAGUAAUAUCAUACUCAUCAUGUAGCCAUCUAGCCACAAUUCUACUAAUAGGGACACUACCAAACAUAUAAAUCCAAAAGCAUGUGCUCAUACAAUUAAGACCUUAGUGCUCAGGCUACAGUCAAAACCUGGCCUCAAGUCCUCCAAACUAGCCCAUCAUUAGCGCACUGAGAUCACAUCUCACCACAUCCAUGGAAUCACAAGCUGUCGAUGCACAUCUGAUACCGAGUGCUCAUGUGCGCAUACAAAUGUGUGGAUGGAAUUCAAAGGAUUAUGUUUCAAGCUGAAUCAAUGCUGCACGAUAAGGAAAGAAAGAUGGGAAGUAUAUCCUAAAUGCCUUGUAGCCUCUCGAAGAUAGGUAUGGACAUCAUCAUAAUGAUCCGCAAGACUCUACUAGACACUUGCUCAUGACUUGUAGAACCUAUAAACCUAGAACUUUGAUACCAAUCUGUCACGACCCAAAGUUUACUAGUCAUGAUGGAACCUAACCCAACCCGCUAGGUAAGCAGUUUAACAACUAUCCAUUCCCAAUUAAAUUAACAAAACAAUUAAACAAAGGAAUUAUCUAAAUCCUAUACAUUUUCCAAGGACUGGUAGUAUAAAUUACGAGCUUCUAAGAGUAGAGAUUUCAAACUGAUAGGAAAUAAAUACAUCUUCUAUUUGAAACGUACAUAAACGGAGUUAUAUAAUCUAAGGCUACCAUGAACAAGAAGCAGCUACAACCGGGACGCAGGUACAUCUUCCAAUCCAGCUUCCAUCGAACACAACAAUAUCGACAUUCGAAAUCUGCACGCAAUGUGUAGGAAGUAUAGUAUUAGUACAGCCAACCCCAUGUACUCAAUAAGUAACAACCCUAAACUUAGGUUGAAAUUAGUGACGAGUUAGAAAAUAGGUCGGGUCUAACACCAAUAGCUGUUAGCAAAUCAGAGAUAAAGUGCUCAUCCUUUCAUCAUUUUCCAAAAAUAGUUCCACUUUUCAAGUAUGCCAAUGAAAGCCCAAAUCCUUUACCGAAAUCGUCAAAAAUAUGAGUAAGUUUGAAAACUGUAAACCUUUUCCAAAAAAAUCCUUUCAAAAGUAAAUAUGAUGUUUCAUUUUCUUUCUAGAUAACAUGUGUGAAAUACCUCUAUAUAACCACAUAUCAAUGUGUGUAAAACCCAUGAAUGACGUGAUACCGUACAACAUGAGGAAAAUGCUUCUCUAGGCUUGUAUGUCAUGUGCACGUCAACUGCAAUGCAACUCAGCAAUAAAACCAUAUGCAUACUCUCAGAGUAUCAAUUCACUCAGUCCUCGCAGUCACUCAGUUCUCACAGUCAUUCAAUCCUCCCAACCACUCGGCACUUGGCACUCGCACUCAGUAGGUACCCACGCUCAAUGGGGGUGUGCAGACUCUGGUGGGGCUUCUUUAGCCCAAGCGCUAUAAUCUGCAUGAACAACUCACAUGCUACACGUAUGUCACGCCCCGAACCUGAGGGCGAGACUGGCACCAAAUGCCUCACCUAUCCUUGGGUACCAACUUGCAACUAAGGGACUCUGAACAUAUGAUGUCAUACUUUGGCCAUGAGCCACACUGCAAGAACUGUGAAUGCUGACUAAAUGUCAAUAUAUAACUGGGCCGACAAGGCCGUCAUAACUAUUAUAGCUGACAAACCAACAAAAUAUACAUACAAGGCCUGCAAGCCCAUCAUAUUGUACUAACUGACAGGAUAUGUCUACAAGCCUCUACUGAUGGAUAUACUAUGAUCGGAACAACUCCCCAACCUACUCAUAACUUAAAUACAUAUAUAUAUACAAGAUGUACAUAAGGCUCUAGACCCGGAAACUUUGAAAGGCAUGGAGCUUACCAAUCAAGCUAAACUCGCGCAACACUUAUUGAAGAGGCCUACCCGUCUGUCUGUCUUACCUGCACGCAUGAAAUGUAGCGCCCCCAGAAAAGGGACGUCAGUACAAAAUAAUGUACUGAGUAUGUAAUGGAAUAUACUGAAAGAUGAAACUGAACUGAUAAUAUAAUAACUGCAAGUAGCUGGAAGUCAAAGAUAAUCUGAAGAUAUGCUCAUCUGCUGAUACUGACUCAAUUCUCUCAAUAUAGCGAGUAAAAUAGUUGUUCGGCCCUAUAAGGCUCGAUAUACAUAUUUAUAUCUGCUCUACCAUAGUAGGCUCGCUCAUAAGCGCUUGGCCAUACUAGGCUCUGUAUCUCGACCAACGUAGGCUCGGUAUAUAUAUAUAACCGCUCUACCGUAGUAGGCUCGCUCAUAGGCGCUCAACCAUACUAGGCUUUGUAUCUCAACCAACUAGGCUCGCUCAUAAGCGCUCGACCACAUUAGGCUCGAUCUAUAACUUACCACUGAUCAGAGGUUGCCCAAUUGGGGCCUGCCCAUCGAUUAUAGCUCGAUGGUAAUAAAAAUACUUUUAAUACUGUAUAUAUGUAAAUUCUCUGCUCUUUUGACUGGAAUAAGAAAAUACUCAAUUGAAUAUGAAGUCCUGAUAAGGAGAAUAUUAUAACUUACAAAACUAGGAAAAUAUACGCGAUUUGCGAGACUAGCAAAAAUGUAUGUAAUUUUGCCGCAUCUCUGGAUUAACAUCAUUUUAUGCUUUAAUUUACUAGAAGAAUAAUGCCUAACGCUCCGUCCCAGUAAAAGAGAAGAGACUAUCGAAAUAAAGUUGGUGAACUUACAAAUAUGUAAGAUAACAAAUUUGAAGAUACUUAAUUGAUACCCUCUUUUUGGUUGUAAAAUUUAAUAGUUCAUAAACUUUUGUCUAACCUCUUUUCCUUUUUACUCGAUUGAAUUUUUUAUGUUCGUGCUCACUUGUAAUUAUACAUACUCGCGAGGGUGACACUUAGCAUAACUGGCAUAUACUGUCUCUUAAGCUUAACUUUUCUCACAUUGCUUGCUUUAGGGAAGUGUCUCCCUGAAUGACCAUUCUCUGAAUUCAUCAUGAAUCUUCUUCUGUGGUCCAUUUUAUUACCACCGAAACGAAAUCUUAAAUUUCCAUGAUUCCGAGUAUUUUCCAAUCAUUCAAUCCCUAAUUCUCUUUUUUUUGGUUUGUCUUGUUCACCAGGUUUUACUGAUUUCUAUUACUCUGGGAUCUAUCUUUUCCUUCUGGUAGUCACGUUGGAGUCAUGACUUCAUUUAUCUAAAUGAAGAUAUAACUUUAUGGCCUAUACUCAUUUGUUGUG
Molecule: long non-coding RNA, 31953 nt
Filed under: Nicotiana tabacum (common tobacco)
Lineage: Eukaryota; Viridiplantae; Streptophyta; Magnoliopsida; Solanales; Solanaceae
Description: long non-coding RNA (NTAB_LNC011728)
Source: RNAcentral